RNAcentral lists this ribosomal RNA (529 nucleotides) under uncultured bacterium. Its description in RNAcentral is "bacterial SSU rRNA". It matches the Rfam family "Bacterial small subunit ribosomal RNA", at positions 777 to 1304 of the family's 1533-position model. The record is from RNAcentral.
AAUAGAUACCCCGGUAGUCCACGCCGUAAACGAUGAGUGCUAAGUGUUAGAGGGUUUCCGCCCUUUAGUGCUGCAGCAAACGCAUUAAGCACUCCGCCUGGGGAGUACGGUCGCAAGACUGAAACUCAAAGGAAUUGACGGGGGCCCGCACAAGCGGUGGAGCAUGUGGUUUAAUUCGAAGCAACGCGAAGAACCUUACCAGGUCUUGACAUCCUUAUGCCUUCUCUAGAGAUAGAGCUUUCCCUUCGGGGACAUAAGUGACAGGUGGUGCAUGGUUGUCGUCAGCUCGUGUCGUGAGAUGUUGGGUUAAGUCCCGCAACGAGCGCAACCCUUGAUCUUAGUUGCCAGCAUUCAGUUGGGCACUCUAAGGUGACUGCCGGUGACAAACCGGAGGAAGGUGGGGAUGACGUCAAAUCAUCAUGCCCCUUAUGACCUGGGCUACACACGUGCUACAAUGGAUGGUACAAAGGGCAGCGAAACCGCGAGGUUAAGCCAAUCCCAUAAAACCAUUCUCAGUUCGGAUUGCAGG